RNAcentral lists this ribosomal RNA (320 nucleotides) under uncultured amoeba. RNAcentral's name for it is "SSU rRNA". It matches the Rfam family "Eukaryotic small subunit ribosomal RNA", at positions 866 to 1673 of the family's 1831-position model. The record is from RNAcentral.
GGYWGAAGUAAUGAUUGAUAGGGACAGUUGGGGGCAUUAGUAUUUAGUUGUCAGAGGUGAAAUUCUAGGAUUUACUAAAGACUGACCAAUGCGAAAGCAUUUGCCAAGGAUGUUUUCAUUAAUCAAGAACGAAAGUAGGGGGAUCGAAGACGAUCAGAUACCGUCGUAGUCUCUACCGUAAACUAUGCCGACCAGGGAUCCGGAGAGUUUGCAUGGAUGACUCCCCGGGCACCUUGUGAGAAAUCAUAAGUGUUUGGGUUUUGGGGGGAGUAUGGUCGCAAGGCUGAAACUUAAAGGAAUGACGAAGGAUAAAAAUUUUC